ACAUUCAGGUAAUCGCUGCACGCUUGUCGUGUAGAGGAAAGUCCAUGCUCGCACGGGCUGCGAUGUCCGUAGUGUUCGUGCCUAGCCAAUUCAUAAGCUAGGGUAGUCUGGUUUUGACUGGACUAACGGCAAGGUAAGCACCUACGUCAUUUUUGAUAUGGUGUGAUGCCUUUGAAAGUGCCACAGUGACGUAGUCCAUUCGGAAACGAGUGGAGUGGAACGAGGUAAACCCCACGAGCGAGAAACCCAAAAUAUGGUAGGGGCAUCUUCUUAAACGGGAAUUGAACUGUUGAGAAGGACUGGGAGUAAAUCCUUUGUAGAUAGAUGAUUGCCACCGGAGUACGAGGUUCAUCACCGUUUGCAGUACAAAGGUACAGAACAUGGCUUAUCGAA
Molecule: RNase P RNA, 393 nt
Filed under: Halalkalibacter okhensis
Lineage: Bacteria; Bacillati; Bacillota; Bacilli; Caryophanales; Bacillaceae
Description: Bacillus okhensis Bacterial RNase P class B
Rfam family: Bacterial RNase P class B
About the family: Ribonuclease P (RNase P) is a ubiquitous endoribonuclease, found in archaea, bacteria and eukarya as well as chloroplasts and mitochondria. Its best characterised activity is the generation of mature 5'-ends of tRNAs by cleaving the 5'-leader elements of precursor-tRNAs.
Source: Rfam by way of RNAcentral